UACGAAGGGUGCAAGCGUUACUCGGAAUUACUGGGCGUAAAGGGCGCGUAGGCGGCCUUCUAAGUCGGACGUGAAAUCCCUCGGCUUAACCGAGGAACUGCGUCCGAUACUGAAAGGCUUGAAUCCGGGAGAGGGAUGUGGAAUUCCAGGUGUAGCGGUGAAAUGCGUAGAUAUCUGGAGGAACACCGGUGGCGAAGGCGGCAUCCUGGACCGGCAUUGACGCUGAGGCGCGAAAGCUAGGGGAGCAAACGGG
RNAcentral lists this ribosomal RNA (253 nucleotides) under uncultured bacterium. Its description in RNAcentral is "partial 16S ribosomal RNA". It matches the Rfam family "Bacterial small subunit ribosomal RNA", at positions 524 to 776 of the family's 1533-position model. The record is from RNAcentral.